GGACGAAAGUCUGACCGAGCAACGCCGCGUGAGUGAAGAAGGUUUUCGGAUCGUAAAACUCUGUUGUUAGAGAAGAACAAGGACGUUAGUAACUGAACGUCCCCUGACGGUAUCUAACCAGAAAGCCACGGCUAACUACGUGCCAGCAGCCGCGGUAAUACGUAGGUGGCAAGCGUUGUCCGGAUUUAUUGGGCGUAAAGCGAGCGCAGGCGGUUUCUUAAGUCUGAUGUGAAAGCCCCCGGCUCAACCGGGGAGGGUCAUUGGAAACUGGGAGACUUGAGUGCAGAAGAGGAGAGUGGAAUUCCAUGUGUAGCGGUGAAAUGCGUAGAUAUAUGGAGGAACACC
This 345-nucleotide ribosomal RNA is filed under the name uncultured bacterium. Its description in RNAcentral is "bacterial SSU rRNA". It matches the Rfam family "Bacterial small subunit ribosomal RNA", at positions 373 to 710 of the family's 1533-position model. The record is from RNAcentral.